UCAGAAUGAUUGUAGUUAUAUCUUAGAGAGAGACUUAGAAGAGAUACUGUAUACCAUUGGUGUUCAUCUAUCAAGGGCUCAGGUUCGAAAGCCGUUCAGAAGAUAGUCACCAGAGACUGUUGGAGUUACAGAAAGCUUACAGAUGGACCUGAGAAGAAAAAAGAUGACACAAUAGAUAUUAAACAUGAACCUCCUGAUCUAGAUCUUUCUAAGGGUAAUCAAGUGAUCCUUGAUAGUAUGACAUCCAAUAAAGAAAGGAUCAAAGACCAUGGCCCCUGAUGGAGUUACCAAUGCAGAACAGUAAUUGACAUUAAUACUAAUCCAUUGGAACAAGUACAGAAGGCUGAUCAAGAGUGAUCUAUGGCAGAGAAGAAGAUUGAAUCUUUGGCGAAACAGAUAGCGGUGAGCUCCUGGAUGCUCUCAUUGGCUCAUCCACCUGCUCCAAGAAGCUCAUGGACAUCAUUGGGACCGCUCAGAAAAACCUGGAUGAAAUCAUGCUUAAGUUUAACAGGUCCCGGAGGAAGCCCUGCUGCCCCCUACAGUCAAGAUUCUUGAGGUUAUUGAGAAAGGCAAGGAAGAUAUCAAGGUCAAGACAGAGAGCAAACCUGUUGUUAAAUAAAAAAUCAAAAAUCCCAAGAGUAAAGAAGUAGAGAUUGCAUGGGGUAGUUCAAUACUGCAAGCACUAAGAAAAGGUAAAAUAAACUAAUGCUUUUUAACCUUUAUUCAUAUAAUAUCACGUUUUUCAUACAUGCAAAAGACCCUAGAAAUUAUUAUCUUGCAUAAUCAAUCAUAGAGGUUGAAAUUACAUCACAAAAUAUGUGGGAAAAUGCAUUCAAUGAUGAUUGUAGUACAAAAGAAACUAUAAAUACUGUUGAUAAAACCCCACAAUACCAUUCAUUUUGAAAAGGAAAAUAAUUUAAUCGAUAAAGAUUUUACUAGGUUAGGCCAUCCAUAACUGGACUCAUAUUUGUCGUUUUCAGACCCCUAUUAACAUUUUCAUCAAUACUAUCUCUAAUUUAUACAUAGAACUUGUCAAAUCGUAUGUUUCGGUAUCAAAGAUUCAAAAAGUUUAUGUUAAACUAUACAGUGCGUAUAAAAAAACGGGACAGUUUUGAAAAGUCUGUAAAAAAUAUGUUUCAAAUUAUUAUAUCGAUAUUUUGAUGUAAAUAGGUGUUCUAAGAUCUUAUCUUUGAAAUGCCAUUAAAAAAAUAAAUUUUGUUCAAGCUUGAGCGAACACGGGCCUUUUUUGUCAGGGGUUCAAAAAAAGGUUUGCGCCAAAAUGGCAGAAAUAGGAAAUUUGAUGAUUAGACUUUUGGCUAAUCAGCAGACUUCCUCUUUAUCUUUUCAUUAUCUUUGUCAUAAUUUUUUAAUUAUGCUGUCAAAUUUCAUUUACAAAUUUAUUUAUUUACCCUGAAUUAUAUUGUUUUUCAUUUAAACUUCUUUUACCUUUGAAUUUUUCUUCAUAAGUUAGAAAAGAAGAGACUUUUUGUCAACCCAAGUAAGCAGAUUUGCAUUAUUAAUUGGGAGAAUUUAUAAUUAUUCAAAUCCUUUUUAUUAUGUAAAACAAAUAAUGUUAUGGUACCUUUAGUAAUUAUUAUGUGAAACAAAUUAUGCUAUGGUACCUAUAAAGACAUGAAUUCUAUUUUCAAAGGGUUAUUGAAUCCUUCACCAAGUUUAAUUAUGUUCUUGACAUGACAAACAGGAGGGGAUUCAUGUCUUUCAAUGGCAAUGGUGCAUUGAGUCAAUUUUGAAGGAGCAAGAUAUGGCAGAUCGGGUAAAAUGUAUUAAAAAGUUGUGAAGCGGGCAAGAACAUUUUUUUAUUAAAAUAUCAAAUUUUGUGAUUUUGACAUAAUAUUCAGAAAAUGAUAUCAUAUUUCUUUUUCUAUGUUUUCUGUUAUUUUCCUUUACACUUUUUUUUCCUUGGUCAUAAUUUUUUUAUUUGGGGAGGGGGGGGGGAGCACCCCGAGCCCCCACCCAUCAGUAUGCCACUGUUCAAAGGCACCAUAACCUUUGUAGCACACAAUGAAAGGAUUUGAAAAAAACAUGCUCUCCCAAACUCCCCCAUACUUUGGUUUAAAAAAAUGUUCUUGCCUAAAGAAGGAAUAUUUAAAGCUAAACGAGAACAUAUUAAAAAGGAACAACAACAAAACUAUUCAAGCAAAUAAGUAGAUUUGGAAAUGAAUUUUGGCCGCAUAAUUCGAGAAUUAUGGCAAAGAUAAUGAAAAGGUUAAGAGGAAGUCUGCUGAUUAUCAAGAAGUCCGACCAUCAUAUUUAUUGUUUUAUGCCAUUUUGGCACAAGCCUCCUUUUUUACCCCAGACAAAAACAUUCUGUGUUCGCUCAAGCAUGAACGAAACAAAAUUAUUUUAAUGGCAUUUAAAGGAUAAGACUCCAGAGCACGUAUUGACACCAAAAUAUAGAGAUCAUAAUUUGAAACAAAAAAUUUAUAGAUUUUUCAAAUCUGUCUCGUUUUUUUUUUAUAUGCACUGUAUUUUGAUGAUGUGUGGAAUCUUAAAAGACUAUGAUUAGUAACAUUUUACAAACUGUUAUGGUUUACUUUCGUAAACUAUUAAAAUUGGAUACCCUUUUCAAUGUCCACAUGUGAUUUUUUAGUCAUGAAGUGAAUUGUUCAUAAUUUAAUUUUCUCAGCAAUUGAAUGCUCCAGUCUUCAUGGUCCAAGUAUUUAUGAUGCAUAAUAUACCUGAGCUAUUAUUUUGAAAAGAUGUAUUUCCCAAUUCAUCACAUUAUCUGCAAUUUUGUCAUAAUUUUUCUUUUUGAAAAUAAUGCUAUUUUGUGACUAAAGCUGUCUGCUCUUUUUACUGAUAGUAUCGAUAUCAAGGUAUUCUAGUUAGGAACCCUUUUGUGAAACAGGUUUAGUAAGAUUGCUCAGUGGUUGAUGGAUAAAGAUAUGACUAACUUGUCAAGGUGUUGAGAAAUGGGCCCCAGCUUUGUUCGCAGCGGUGCUAACCAUUAGUUGAAUUGCCAAAUAUGCUUUGACAUUGUCAGUAAGAUAAUGAUUGGUAUCACUUUUUAUUUCAUCCUGAAUAAACUGUUAAAAAUGCUUUCCCCACCAAAAUUCUUGUCUUAUCCCCAAAUCUAUAAAUUGUUUGCUAAUGUUUUGCCCCUUGAUGUAUGAAUAAGAUGGUGCUGUUACUGGUGAAUCCAUUUCAGUUCAAGGCAAACUUACUCUGUUUGGGUUUUUUGUUUGUUUGUUUUUUGCUAAUUAUUGACUAUAUAUGAAAAUGUCUUUUCUUAUACAGGAAACAUUGCAAACUCAACAUCAGGAUAAAUUUUAUUUGCUUUAGUUCAAUCUCUGUAGCCACUAGGAUAUUGUACUGUACAAUCAUAUUCUCACACUGUCAGCUAUUACACAUUCAAUGACAUCCAGGGAUGAUCUUAGUUACCACUUCCUAUCAGCAAUACAAGUAACUCUGCCUAAGUCAAAUCUCUUGGGACCAAAUAAUAAUCAAUAUGUUCGACUUAGGCAAAAUUCAACUGAAAAGAGGUAUGUAACACAUUUUGAAUCUGAUCUAAAAGAUUGCUUUGACUUUAAUAGGCAGAGUUACCUGUAUAUGAUACUUUGCUCAUUAUUGUGACCCUGCUAAAUGAUAGAGACUUUCUAAGUUGCAUGACAUGUAAUAAUUACAUUUUCACUAUUCAAUUCAAUCGGAUUGCAUUUUUCUCUCACCUGUGAACUAGAGUGAGACUAUAGGUACCGUUUUUUCCGACGGUGGCUGCGGCGGCGUCAACACCAAAUCUUAACCGAAGGUUAAGUUUUUGAAAUGACAGCAUAACUUAGGAAGUAUAUGAACCGAGCUCAUGAAAGUUGGCCAUAAGGUUAAUCAAGUAUUACUAUAGAUUCUGCUUUAGUUUCAGGUCACAUGACGGAGGUCAAAGGUCAUUUAUGGUCAAUGAACUUAGACCAUGUUGGGGGAAUCAACACCAAAAUCUUAACCUAAGGUUAAGUUUUUGAAAUGACAGCAUAACUUAGAAAAUAUCUGGACCUAGUUCAUGAAACUUAAACAUAAGGUUAAUCAAGUACUAUUGAACAUCUUGCUCGAGUUUCAUGUCACAUGACCAAGGUCAAAGGUCAUUUAUGGUCAAUGAACUUUAGCCAAAGGUAUCUGUUGAAUUACCAUAACUUUAAAAGUUUAUGAAUCUGAUUCAUUAAACUUGGACAUAAUAGUAAUCAAGUAUCACUGAACAUCCUGUGCGAAUUUAAGGUCACAUGACCAAUGUCAAAGGUCAAUGAACUUUGGCCAAGUUGGGGGUAUCUUUUGAAUUACCAUCAUAACUUUGAAAGUUUAUAGAUCUGAUUCAUGAGACUUGGACAUAAGAGUCAUCAAGUAUCGCUGAACAUCUCAUGCGAGUUUCAGGUCACAUGACGAAAGUCAAAGGUCAUUUUAGGUCAUUGAACUUUGGCCAUUUUAGAGGUAAUUAUUUGAUUGCUGUCAUAACUUUCAAAGUUUAUACAUACAGUGUACAAAAGGUGGAUAUAAGGAUAAUCAAGUAUCACUGACAAGUUUUAGGUCACAUGAUCAAGGUCAAAUAUCAAUGAACGUAGUAUUGUAUCAUUAUAUGAAUGUUUUUUCUUGUGAAUAAUUAUUUUAUAGUAGUUUUCAAAGUCAGCACUGCUGCUAAAUAGAAUCACGUGAUGCAGGUGAAACCGCCAGAGGCAUUCCACUUGUUUGACCCUUUGAAAGCAUGUGUGGUUAUUUGUUGGAAGUACCAAUUUUUCUGUAUGUAACUUACAUUUAAACUUGGAUAUUGUUGAUUACGGUAUUGCUUAACAUUCCAAUAUUUUAACAUUUAUUUUUAUGGAUGUUUUAUCAAAUAUGAGUUUACCCUAUCUUAACUGGGCUAUUUCAGACCAGCGGUCAAUUUGACCCCCCCCCCCUCAAAUCUUGGCCGCGAAAAUUUGCAAGCACGUAGAGCCAGAUUUAAACUACAAGAGUGUAUAGAAACUUUUUCAAAAUUUUUUUUUUUAAUAUCUCUUAUUGAUUAAUCAAAAUAAGCAUAUGAAAUUUGCCAUAAAUUUCUUUUUUGUGUAUGUGUAUGUAUUUGCCUUUAACUCAAGUUAUAUAGCUAGUAGAAUGCUAAUUUUUGGUGGGAGUAUCAAUUAUUACAUUUCUAACAAAUGUCUACAAAAUAUAGUAAAAAUAUAAUGAAUUUCUUAUGUAUUUUAUUGUUUUUAAAUUCUUAUGUAUUUCUUUGUUUUUUUUCAAAGUUGAAACCUUUGUUUUUUAUUGUUUUUCCCAAUGAACUCUGUCGAGAACACUUUUGCGAUCAUAAAAGGCAUAAAAUAAAUCCAUUUAAACCAACAAAACCCUAUGAUUUUUGGUUGAAAAACACAAUUUGCAUUGACUUUUUACACAAAAUCACGUUUUUGAGCAAUUUCUGGUCUGACAUGCACUUACAGAACGUUGCGUAAUUUUGGAACCGCGUGCCUGGGCGUCGCAAAUUUGGUCUCAAAAGAUGCGCAAGUAAAAAGUCAGUGAGAAGCACAGUAAAAAACAAUUGUGCCACGGCGUAGUGACAACAUUUGUUGAGGGGGGGUCAAAUUGACCAUCUCCCCCCAGUUUAAUAAGUGUUAAUAUUGAGUAGGAUGCAGGUGAUUCAUUGAUAGUCAUAAUUUAUUGACCAGCUUUAUUACUUGAAUUAUGAAUGAUGACAAAACAUAGAACACUGAAUCUUAGUGAAAUUGUAUGCUAUUUUGGGGGAAUAAAAGUCAGAUUUUUUCAUUAUGCACUUAAAAAGAGAUUACUAAAAUAUGCUUGUAAAAUUAGGGAUUUAUUUGAAUCUAUAAAAGACAGAUUUUUAUUGUUCUUUUACAGGAUUAGGGAUUGCAAAGAACAUACCUGCUCAAUUAAUACAAUAUUUUCCAUACUAUAUUAUUUGUAUAAAGUAAUCAGUGUAAUUGAUAAUUGAAAGUUUCACAAUUUGAAAGGGCGUGGAAUUGCGAUACAUUAUAAUAGUUCUUACAUAUGCUCCAAAAAACAGAAAUUGGUUUGUAAUUGUGAAAUGAAAUAAAAUAAUUUGGUCAUCCUUCUAUGAUCAGGAAGGGAUGAAAUAUAUUAUUUUGUUUUAGAGAGUAUGCGGGGAUGAAUUCUUUAAUAGUUUGUUAAUUUGCUCUUUGAAUGAUACAUUAUGAUUACAUAUUGUAAGGCAAAUAUUGUCUAAGUUUAGAAUAAGGGGGAACCACAUUCUCUGAUAAGUAAUAGCAUAUUUGUGAAAUGCUAAAUCUACCCAUAGAUAGGAUAUUCAAAAUGGACAUGAUAGAUUGAUUGAAAGUAUAUAUUUUUCUUGUGAGAAAAAACAUUCCUUUCCUUAAU
Lytechinus pictus (painted urchin) is the source of this 6330-nucleotide long non-coding RNA. RefSeq lists it as uncharacterized. NCBI's taxonomy places the organism in Eukaryota, Metazoa, Echinodermata, Echinoidea, Temnopleuroida, Toxopneustidae. The record is from RefSeq and is a predicted model, not a curated record. The transcript is spliced from 4 exons.